UCCGCCCGUCGCGCCGGGGGAGGCAGGCUCGGACGGCCCGCGGAGCUGUAGCCGCCCUUCUCUCCCUCCCUGCUGACGCCAUGCUCCAGUUCCUGCCAUUUCAUCUCUAAAACAGCGGGGUUGAUGCAGAUGAUCCCCAAGAUCUCUGGCUAUUAACCUGUGACCAGACAUCAUGUCCUAGUGCUUAAGAGCUUGGAUUUACUCUUGGCAACGUGGUGGGAAUGUAUCUGGCUCAGAACUAUGACAUACCAAACCUGGCUAAAAAGCUUGAAGAAAUUAAAAAGGAUGUGGACGCCAAGAAGAAACCCCCUAGUUCAUGAGGCCGACUCCAGGACUGCCUUCUGGAUAAACUGAUUCUCCUGUUCUUGAGGGCCUCCUAUACCAUCUGAACCAAAAGCUUUUGUUUUAAUCUCCAGCCUCAGCAGUUUUCUUCUUUGCUAGACCUUGCAUUGCCUUACAGCACAAAUGGAGCCACAAGUAAAGAACAGCCCUUACUUUUCCAACAUCCUCACUUCUUCCCUUCCUCCUUCCAGCCACUUGGGAGGUCCUGAGAAUGGAAUUAUGGUGCUAGAUUAGUAAACAUGAUCUUUAAUUAGCAGUCUCUCCCUUAUUCUUCAGGAUUUCUACUACCAUUUUCAAAAGAAAAAUUGAUGAGUUUUGUAUAGCUGAUGAGAUAUAAAUAAUGCUGAUUUCAUAGUCUAGCAAUUAUGUUGAGUGUUUAAACAGUUGGUACUAAAUUAUGUUGUUUCAAAGUAGUAAUUAAAGUGAAAAUCUAGAAGCCAGUUUCUGGUAAAUUAUCCACUAAUUUUAUCUUGUUGUCAGGAAGCUUCAUAGUUGCUAAUUUAACCAAUAAAUCAAUUUGCUGUUCAUUAAUCAAGAAACUGUGUUCUGAGAACCCUAUCAGGAACUGGGGAAUUUAAAAGUAUUUAAAAUAAUGGCCUUUGUUCUCAGUGGAAUUCAUAGUCUAGCAUGCAUGUUUUUUUGUAAUGUUACAUUUGAUCUGGCUCUGUUCUUUGGUAAGAAUCAUACUUACUUUAUGGGAUUACAGGCACAUUUGACAUUACAUGGUAGGUAAAUGAGAAGUUGUCUAUAAAGGAGAUUUUGUGUCUUUUUAAAUCUAAAAAAUGUAUUUACAUUAUAACUUCA
Molecule: long non-coding RNA, 1146 nt
Organism: Hippopotamus amphibius kiboko
Lineage: Eukaryota; Metazoa; Chordata; Mammalia; Artiodactyla; Hippopotamidae
Exons: 4
Source: RefSeq, a predicted model, not a curated record